This 525-nucleotide ribosomal RNA is filed under the name uncultured bacterium. Its description in RNAcentral is "bacterial SSU rRNA". It matches the Rfam family "Bacterial small subunit ribosomal RNA", at positions 353 to 896 of the family's 1533-position model. The record is from RNAcentral.
AGUGGGGAAUAUUGCGCAAUGGGGGCAACCCUGACGCAGCCAUGCCGCGUGAGUGAAGAAGGCCUUCGGGUUGUAAAGCUCUUUCAGAUGUGACGAUGAUGACGGUAGCAUCAGAAGAAGCCCCGGCUAACUUCGUGCCAGCAGCCGCGGUAAUACGAAGGGGGCAAGCGUUGUUCGGAAUCACUGGGCGUAAAGAGUUCGUAGGCGGUCUUGCCAGUCAGAGGUGAAAGCCCAGGGCUCAACCUUGGAACUGCCUUUGAUACUGCAAGACUAGAAUCCGUGAGAGGGUGGUGGAAUUCCCAGUGUAGAGGUGAAAUUCGUAGAUAUUGGGAGGAACACCAGUGGCGAAGGCGGCCACCUGGCGCGGUAUUGACGCUGAGGAACGAAAGCGUGGGGAGCAAACAGGAUUAGAUACCCUGGUAGUCCACGCCGUAAACGAUGAGUGCUAGAUGUCGGGGUUCAUGUACCUCGGUGUCGCAGCUAACGCAUUAAGCACUCCGCCUGGGGAGUACGGCCGCAAGGUUA